Molecule: RNA transcript, 1479 nt
Organism: Dalotia coriaria
Lineage: Eukaryota; Metazoa; Arthropoda; Insecta; Coleoptera; Staphylinidae
Exons: 5
Source: RefSeq, a predicted model, not a curated record
UGUUUUCAGCGCAGUUUUGUGUCGGUCGUUGGUUGAGUCGGGCGUGUUUCUCGCGGCUGUUAUCAUUUUAUUUUGAGUUUGUAAUUGAGUAAAUCGCGUUUCUUUUUCAAUUGUUCAUCGACUGCAUUUAGCCAUUACUGACGUGUUUAGUGUUUUAUUACAAAAUCGGCAAUUUUCUUUGCAUUCCUUGCAAGAUGGCCGCGUGCUAUCAACUUGUUUACACUGCACGUUCGCAAGAUACAGGUGCCUAGCGGGCGAACGAAAUGUCCUAGGGCAACGAUUCUUUUAUCAGAUAGUGUCUCGCGGGCAAACGAGAUAUCCUAGGUCAGCGAUUCUUUCAUCAGAUUGUAAGUAUUAAAUUUAUUUAUAAUUUUCAUAAAUAAUUUGUUUUAUUAUCACAAGGGAAACCCGCAUAAAUGUCAUUUUUGUGUUUUGAUGUGCUAAUUUUUGGUUGUUUUCGGUGUCUCACCGGCAAACGAAAUAUCCUAGGACAGCGAUUCUUUCAUCAGAUUAUAAGUAUUAAAUUUGUUAAUCAUUACCAUAUAUAAUUUGUAUGAUUAGCACACGGAAAACCUGCAAAAAGGUCAUUUUUGUGUAACGAUGUGCUAAUUUUUUGUUGUUUUGAUGUCUAGCAGGCGAUCAGAAUGUCCUUGGACAACGAUUCUUUCAACAGAUUGUGUCUAGCAGGCGAACAGAAUGACGUACGACAACGAUUGUUUUAUCAGAUUAUAAGUAUUGAAUUUUUUAUCAUUUUCAUAAGUAAUUUGUGUGAUUAGCACACGGGAAACCUGCAAAAAUGUCAUUUUUGUGCUUCGAUGUGCUAUUUUUUUGUUUUAGGUGUCUAGCAGGCGAACAGAAUGUCGUACGACAACGAUUGUUUUAUCAGAUUGUGUCUAACGGGCGGACAAAAUGUCCUUGGACACCGAUUUUUUCAUCAAGUUGUAAGUAUUAAAUUUGUUUAUCAUUUUCGUAAAUUUUCAUUCUUCAUACCGUGUAAAGUGAUUUAAAUUAGUUUUUUUAAUAUAAGUAGAUGCUUUACAGAUUUCUGAGUGAUUUAUUUCAAAGUCCCAAAACUAGAUGGCUCUAGUAGGCGAUGUUUAACUUUAUUUUGUUUCGCCGCGGUCAGAUGGCGCUUUCAUCGAUUUGGGUUAAAUUUAUUCUUAAUUUUUGUUGUUGUUUUAUGCACAACUUUUAGGUUUAACAAAACAUGAAAUAAUAAAAUUUGCAUAAUUAGGCAGUUGACUCUAAUUUUCGGUUGUUUAUGUGUCUAGCGGGCAAAGCCGAUGUCGUAGGACAAGCAUUAGUUCAUGUGAUUCUAAGUGUUCUAGUUGUUUACCAUUGUCAAAAUUCAACACUUGUGUUUAAUACUAGGGAAAGCCUAGAAACUGCUAUUUGAUAAUUAAAAACCUUUUUGCCAAAUAUAUUUUUUUGUAAACUUCACCUCAUAACUUGAUAACAUGCAAUAUAUUUGUAGUCACA